This 367-nucleotide long non-coding RNA is filed under the name Malus domestica (apple). RNAcentral describes it as "long non-coding RNA (MDOM_LNC003746)". The record is from RNAcentral. Lineage: Eukaryota; Viridiplantae; Streptophyta; Magnoliopsida; Rosales; Rosaceae.
GUGUGUGAAAGGAAAUUAAUCCUUACACACCCAUCACCAUUUCCAUCACCAUUUCCAUCACCAUUCAAAUAAAUAUCUAAUGCAAUAAAUCAUUUGAAAAACAUAAAACAUAAACUUUAUGAAAUUAAUCAAAACUUUGAAUCAAAACACAAACCUUUUUGUUCUUGGCAAAAAUGUCAAGAACAAUGAAGAACAUUCAUGAAAAAACCCAAAAUUUUUCCAUGAACUUUUUCCACCCAAAAACAUUCCAAAACCAUUCAAACUUUAGGGAAAUAACAUCUAACCAAACUAGGGUACAUAGGGGUUCCAAAAAGUCACUUGAAAACACUUUUAACAAGUCAAACAAGAACCCAAAAAUCCACCCUUU